RNAcentral lists this ribosomal RNA (466 nucleotides) under uncultured bacterium. Its description in RNAcentral is "partial 16S ribosomal RNA". It matches the Rfam family "Bacterial small subunit ribosomal RNA", at positions 28 to 507 of the family's 1533-position model. The record is from RNAcentral.
GAUGAACGCUGGCGGCGUGCUUAACACAUGCAAGUCGAACGAUGAAGCCCAGCUUGCUGGGUGGAUUAGUGGCGAACGGGUGAGUAACACGUGAGUAACCUGCCCUUAACUCUGGGAUAAGCCUGGGAAACUGGGUCUAAUACCGGAUAGGAGCGUCCACCGCAUGGUGGGUGGUGGAAAGAUUUAUCGGUUUUGGAUGGACUCGCGGCCUAUCAGCUUGUUGGUGAGGUAAUGGCUCACCAAGGCGACGACGGGUAGCCGGCCUGAGAGGGUGACCGGCCACACUGGGACUGCGACACGGCCCAGACUCCUACGGGAGGCAGCAGUGGGGAAUAUUGCACAAUGGGCGCAAGCCUGAUGCAGCGACGCCGCGUGAGGGAUGACGGCCUUCGGGUUGUAAACCUCUUUCAGUAGGGAAGAAGCGAAAGUGACGGUACCUGCAGAAGAAGCACCGGCUAACUACGUG